This 254-nucleotide ribosomal RNA is filed under the name uncultured bacterium. Its description in RNAcentral is "partial 16S ribosomal RNA". It matches the Rfam family "Bacterial small subunit ribosomal RNA", at positions 524 to 776 of the family's 1533-position model. The record is from RNAcentral.
CACGUAGGGGGCAAGCGUUGUCCGGAUUUAUUGGGCGUAAAGAGCUCGUAGGCGGUUCGGUAAGUCAGGUGUGAAACCUCCAGGCUCAACCUGGAGACGCCACCUGAUACUGCUGUGACUCGAGUCCGGUAGGGGAGCGUGGAAUUCCUGGUGUAGCGGUGAAAUGCGCAGAUAUCAGGAGGAAUACCUAUGGCGAAAGCAGGUAUCUGGGCCAUCACUGACGCUGAGCUGCGAAAGCUAGGGGAGCAAACAGG